GUUGGUGGUGGUGCCGGGGGUGGAGUCGGUGGAAUUGGUGGUAUUGGAGGUGGGCUUGGUGGUGGAUCUGGAUUAUUAGGAGGAGUGGGUGGUUUGGGAGGGGCUGCUGGAGGCCUCGGGGGCCUCGGAGGCGGUGCCGGAGGUGGCCUCGGCGGUGGUUCAGGUGGUGGCCUUGGCAGUGGUAUCGGUGGCGGAGCUGGUGGCGGAUUUGGUGGAGGUGCCGGAGGGGGUCUCGGGGGUGGAAGUGGCAGUAACUGUGGUGGUGGCCUACUUCACCCUUGAUAUUUCUACAAUUUCAUUUCAUGCUUCUUUAAUUUUAGGAUAAUGUCAGUUAAUCAAGUCGGUUUUGUGUUAGCCUUUCUUCACUUUUGAUAAGUCGGUUAUAAGUUUUUAAGAGUUCUUUUAUUUUGGGUCGUGUUUUGAAUAAUCGCUUAGCUUUUUUCAAGUUUCUUGCAGUUUUAACAUAUGUGAUAUGUAAGCUUAAAGUAUAUCCGUCUGAUCCGACUUAUAUAUAUCAAGAUCCAGACAUUUGAUAAUAUAAUUGAUUUUACCGAUCGAUGUUGUAGACCUAAUACGAUGCCAAGAUAUAAUUGAAAAUGCAG
RNAcentral lists this long non-coding RNA (602 nucleotides) under Citrus maxima (pomelo). Its description in RNAcentral is "long non-coding RNA (CMAX_LNC002546)". The record is from RNAcentral. Lineage: Eukaryota; Viridiplantae; Streptophyta; Magnoliopsida; Sapindales; Rutaceae.